CAGGUCAGGCGGGGUUACCCGCUGAAUUU
RNAcentral lists this ribosomal RNA (29 nucleotides) under Prunus lusitanica. RNAcentral describes it as "partial 26S ribosomal RNA". Lineage: Eukaryota; Viridiplantae; Streptophyta; Magnoliopsida; Rosales; Rosaceae. The record is from RNAcentral. RNAcentral also lists the same sequence under 1 other name.